UGCGACCUCGCGACAAGUGGCGCGGGUAAGACGUAGGUGGCAAUCGGUGUCCGGAGUGACAGGGCGGAAAUAGCGGUCAGGCGGUCGUGUAGGUCGAAUGUGAAAGCCCCCGGCUCAACUGGGGAGGGUCAUUCGAUACUGAUCGACUUGAAGGCAGGAGAGGAAAGUGGAAUUCCCGGUGUAGUGGUGAAAUGCGUAGAUAGCGGGAGGAACACCAGUGGCGAAGGCUACUUUCUGGCCUGUUCUUGACGCUGAGGCGCGAAAGCUGGGGGAGCAAACGGGAUUAGAUACCCUAGUAGUC
Molecule: ribosomal RNA, 301 nt
Filed under: uncultured Flammeovirga sp.
Lineage: Bacteria; Pseudomonadati; Bacteroidota; Cytophagia; Cytophagales; Flammeovirgaceae
Description: bacterial SSU rRNA
Rfam family: Bacterial small subunit ribosomal RNA
Source: RNAcentral